Molecule: ribosomal RNA, 497 nt
Filed under: uncultured Glomeromycotina
Lineage: Eukaryota; Fungi; Glomeromycota
Description: partial small subunit ribosomal RNA
Rfam family: Eukaryotic small subunit ribosomal RNA
Source: RNAcentral
CCAAUAGCGUAUAUUAAAGUUGUUGCAGUUAAAAAGCUCGUAGUUGAAUUUUGGAUCUGACCAAGCGGUCCGCCUUUGGUGAGUACUGUUUGUGUCGGGUCUAUCCUUCUGGUGAGCUGGUAUGCCCUUUAUUGGGUGUGUCAGGGAACCAGGACCAUUACCUUGAAAAAAUUAGAGUGUUUAAAGCGGGCAUAAGCUUGAAUAGAUUAGCAUGGAAUAAUAGAAUAGGACGUUGUGGUUCUAUUUUGUUGGUUUCUAGGACCACCGUAAUGAUUAAUAGGGAUAGUUGGGGGCAUUAGUAUUCAAUUGUCAGAGGUGAAAUUCUUGGAUUUAUUGAAGACUAACUACUGCGAAAGCAUUUGCCAAGGAUGUUUUCAUUAAUCAAGAACGAAAGUUAGGGGAUCGAAGACGAUCAGAUACCGUCGUAGUCUUAACCAUAAACUAUGCCGACUAGGAAUCGGGCGAAGUUAUUUUAAUGACUCGCUCGGCGCCUUAUG